GCGGGGAUGGUGUAACAGGCAAACAUCUCGGUCUCCAAAACCGAAGAUUCUGAGUUCGACUCUCAGUCCCCGUG
This 74-nucleotide transfer RNA is filed under the name Oxynema mangrovii CENA135. RNAcentral's name for it is "tRNA-Trp". It matches the Rfam family "tRNA". From Rfam's summary of the family: Transfer RNA (tRNA) molecules are approximately 80 nucleotides in length. Their secondary structure includes four short double-helical elements and three loops (D, anti-codon, and T loops). Further hydrogen bonds mediate the characteristic L-shaped molecular structure. tRNAs have two regions of fundamental functional importance: the anti-codon, which is responsible for specific mRNA codon recognition, and the 3' end, to which the tRNAs corresponding amino acid is attached (by aminoacyl-tRNA synthetases). tRNAs cope with the degeneracy of the genetic code in two manners: having more than one tRNA (with a specific anti-codon) for a particular amino acid; and 'wobble' base-pairing, i.e. permitting non-standard base-pairing at the 3rd anti-codon position. Lineage: Bacteria; Bacillati; Cyanobacteriota; Cyanophyceae; Oscillatoriales; Oscillatoriaceae. RNAcentral also lists the same sequence under 2 other names. The record is from RNAcentral.